This 254-nucleotide ribosomal RNA is filed under the name uncultured bacterium. RNAcentral describes it as "partial 16S ribosomal RNA". It matches the Rfam family "Archaeal small subunit ribosomal RNA", at positions 474 to 727 of the family's 1478-position model. The record is from RNAcentral.
CACCAGCGCCACGAGUGGUAUUCACGUUUAUUGGGCCUAAAGCGUCCGUAGCUGGUUUUGUAAAUUCAUUGUGAAAGAGUAGGGCUUAACCUUACUAUGUGCAACGAACACUGCAAAGCUUGAGACCGGGAGGAGUAAGAGGUAUUUCGGGGGGACUGGUAAAAUGGAAUAAUCCUCGAAGGACCACCAAUGGCGAAGGCAUCUUACUAGAACGGUUCUGACAGUGAGGGACGAAAGCUAGGGGAGCGAACCGG